UAACGCGAAGAACCUUACCAGGGUUUGACAUGGGAACGCCGCGGCGAGAGAUCGCCGUUUUGCAGCAAUGCAACGUUCCGCACAGGUGCUGCAUGGCUGUCGUCAGCUCGUGUCGUGAGAUGUUGGGUUAAGUCCCGCAACGAGCGCAACCCUUGUCCAUGGCUGCCAGCAUUCAGUUGGGCACUCCACGGAGACUGCCGGUGUUAAGCCGGAGGAAGGUGGGGUUGACGUCAAGUCCUCAUGGCCCUUAUGUCCAGGGCUACACACGUACUACAAUGGGAUGGACAGAGGGAAGCGAAGGAGCGAUCCGGAGCGGACCCCAGAAAGCAUCCCCCAGUUCGGAUUGCAGGCUGCAACCCGCCUGCAUGAAGUCGGAAUUGCUAGUAAUCGCGCAUCAGCCAUGGCGCGGUGAAUACGUUCCCGGGUCUUGUACACACCGA
RNAcentral lists this ribosomal RNA (440 nucleotides) under uncultured rumen bacterium. RNAcentral's name for it is "bacterial SSU rRNA". It matches the Rfam family "Bacterial small subunit ribosomal RNA", at positions 957 to 1393 of the family's 1533-position model. The record is from RNAcentral.